Molecule: ribosomal RNA, 292 nt
Filed under: uncultured bacterium
Lineage: Bacteria
Description: partial 16S ribosomal RNA
Rfam family: Bacterial small subunit ribosomal RNA
Source: RNAcentral
GUGUCAGCAGCCGCGGUAAGACGAACCGUGCAAACGUUGUUCGGAAUCACUGGGCUUAAAGGGCGCGUAGGCGGGCCGGAUAGUCUGUGGUGAAAGCCUCCAGCUUAACUGGAGAAGUGCCAUGGAUACUGCCGGUCUGGAGGAGGGUAGGGGCAUCUGGAACGCUGGGUGGAGCGGUGAAAUGCGUUGAUAUCCAGCGGAACUCCGGUGGCGAAGGCGAGGUGCUGGACCCUUUCUGACGCUGAGGCGCGAAAGCCAGGGGAGCAAACGGGAUUAGAUACCCCGGUAGUCC